Molecule: ribosomal RNA, 402 nt
Filed under: uncultured bacterium
Lineage: Bacteria
Description: bacterial SSU rRNA
Rfam family: Bacterial small subunit ribosomal RNA
Source: RNAcentral
UGGGGAAUCUUACACAAUGGGGGCAACCCUGAUGCAGCGACGCCGCGUGAGCGAUGAAGCCCUUCGGGGCGUAAAGCUCUUUCGACCGGAACGAUAAUGACGGUACCGGGAGAAGAAGCUGCGGCUAACUACGUGCCAGCAGCCGCGGUAAUACGUAGGCAGCAAGCGUUGUUCGGAGUUACUGGGCGUAAAGAGUGCGUAGGCGGUUUUCUAAGUUCGGUGUGAAAUCUCCCGGCUUAACUGGGAGGGUGCGCCGAAGACUGGGAAGCUGGAGUGUGGGAAAGGCAGGCGGAAUUCCUGGUGUAGCGGCGAAAUGCGUAGAUAUCAGGAGGAACACCGGCGGUGUAGACGGCUUGCUAGACCAUAACUGACGCUGAGGCACGAAAGCGUGGGUAGCAAACA